RNAcentral lists this ribosomal RNA (206 nucleotides) under uncultured bacterium. RNAcentral describes it as "partial 16S ribosomal RNA". It matches the Rfam family "Bacterial small subunit ribosomal RNA", at positions 134 to 334 of the family's 1533-position model. The record is from RNAcentral.
GUCCCGGGAGUAACUAAGCCGAAAGGUUAAGCUAAUACCUGAUACGAUCGUUGAGCGGCAUCGCUCGAUGAUGAAAGCAGCAAUGCGCGGUUAGAGGGGGCGUGCGGCCCAUUAGCUAGUUGGUGAGGUAAUGGCCCACCCAAGGCAACGAUGGGUAGCUGGUCUGAGAGGACGACCAGCCACACUGGGACUGAGACACGGCCCAG